Molecule: ribosomal RNA, 207 nt
Filed under: uncultured Acidobacteriota bacterium
Lineage: Bacteria; Pseudomonadati; Acidobacteriota
Description: uncultured Acidobacteria bacterium partial 16S ribosomal RNA
Rfam family: Bacterial small subunit ribosomal RNA
Source: RNAcentral
CGCGUAGGCGGCAUUACAAGUCAGCUGUGAAAGCCCCGGGCUUAACCCGGGAAUUGCAUCUGAAACUGUUUUGCUUGAGUCCUGGAGGGGGUAGUGGAAUUCCCAGUGUAGCGGUGAAAUGCGUAGAUAUUGGGAGGAACACCUGCGGCGAAGGCGGCUACCUGGACAGUGACUGACGCUGAGGCGCGAAAGCUAGGGGAGCGAACG